GCUUUGUAAACUUUUUUUUUUUUUUGAGGAAGAUUAGCCCUGAGCUAACAUCUGCCACCAAUCCUCCUCUUUUCGCUGAGGAAGACUGGCCCUGAGCUAACAUCUGUGCCCAUCUUUCUCUACUUUAUGUGUGGGACGCCUACCACAGCAUGGUUUGCCAAGCAGUGCUCUGUCCACACCUAGGAUCUGAACUGGAAAACCCUAGGCCGCUGAAGCAGUACGUGUGCACUUAACUGCUGCACCACUGGGCCAGACCUCCUUUCUUUCUUUUGUUUUUUGUUUUUUUUUUCAUGCAUGAGGGGCUUCUUGAACGUUUCUUGUAGGGAGGAGAUCUUGUCAUGAUGAACUCUCUCAGCUUUUGCUUAUCUGGGAAUGAUUUUAUUUCUCCUUCAUAUCUGAAGGAUAUUUUAGCUGGAUUGAGUAUUCUUGGCAGAAAGAUUUUGUCUUUCAAAAGUUUGAGGGGCCAGCCCCAUGGCCGAGUGUUUAAGUUCACUCACUCUGCUUCGGCAGCCCAGGGUUUCGCCAGUCCGGAUCCUGGAUGCAGACAUGGCACCACUUGUCAGGCCACAUUGAGGCAGCAUCCCACAUAGCACAACUAGAGGGACCCACAACUAAAAUAUGCAACUAUGUACUGGGGGGUAUUUGGGGAGAAAAAGCAGGAAAAAAAAAGUUUGAAUAUAUCAUUCUACUCUCUCCUAGCCUGUAGUGUUUCUUCUGAGAAAUCUGCUGAAAUCCUAAUAGGCAUUCUUUUGUAGGUUAUUUUCUUCUGUCUUGCUGACCUUAAUAUUAUUUGUCAUUGAUUUUUGCGAGUUUUACUGUUGUAUGCCCUGGAGAAGGUCUUUUUACAUCAAUGUGAUUAGGAGUUCUGUUAGCUUCUUUUACUUGUAAUUCCAGCUCCUUCCCCAGGAUUGGGAAGUUCUCAGCUAUUAUUUCUUUGAACAAGCUCUCUGCUCCUUUCUCCCUCUGGAACAUCUAUAAUCCUUAUGUUCCAAUUCCUAAUUGAGUCAGAUACUUCUUGGAGAAUUUAUUAAUUUCUUUUCAGUUUUAGUUCUCUCUCUUCCAUCUGAAGCAUUUCUAUAUUUCUAUCCUCUAAAUUGCUAAUUUUGCCGUCUAUACUAUCAACUCUGUUAUUCAGGGAUUUCAGAUUUUUCUUUAUCUCAUUCAUUGUGUUUUUCAUCUCCAACAUUUCUGAUUGGUUUUUCUUUACAGUUUCAAUCUCUUUUGUGAAGAAUUCCCCCUGUUCAUUAAUUUUAUUGCUGAUUUCACUGAACUGUGUUUCUGAGUUUUCUUGUAGCUCAUUGAGUUUUUUUUAUGAUAGCUGUUUUGAAUUCUCUGUCAUUUAGAGCAUAAAUUUCUGUGCCUUCAGGAUUGAUCUGGGUGCUUGUCAUUUUCCUUCUGGUCUGGAGUAUUAAUAUACCUCUUCAUACCAUUUGAUGGAGUGAAUUUGUGCCUCCCAUAGUGGUAGUAUCCAGUUGCAGAUUUCACCUGCUGCCACUGGGGUAGGGGGAGGGGGCUGGAGCUGUGUAUUCUGAGCCCCCCUGUAGUCUCUGGAAGCUGUGCCAGUGCUUUGGAAGCUAUGCUGACAAGGCCCAUCUGCAUUUGCCCACUUGCCACCGCUGCUUUACAAGCAUAUGCACAGUCACUCUGGCGGGGGUAUUCUGCUCAGUCCAUCAGAAAAAGCUGGUGUGCCAGGCAAGGGGAAGGGGGCGCUUUCUUUCAUGUGCGUGAUCCUGCAUGCUCCAGCUCUGCACUCACUCUCUGCCCACCUUGGUGCAGACACCCCCAUGACUGCUUAGCUGCCUCAGUGUGGGGUGUUCCCACAGGCUGGGCGGUAACUCUGAGAGCACAAGCAUUCCUGCGGAAGGCUGCCUUCUCUUCCUUCUCCUUUCAUGGCUGUGCACCAGCUGCUGCAAGGUCUCACCCUUGGGUCACUGCUGCACAGGAGGGAGAGGAAAUCCCCUUACCUCCUUCCACUGCCUCCUGGGGGGGUUGAGCACCCCCACCUUCAGAUGUAUGGCUGUGUGGAUCUCUCAGAUGUCUAUUGUUUUGUGUGGAUGUCCUCUGUUGGUUUAUGAAUGUCCUUUUUGUUGUAUCUUAAGGGGGAGAGAUUAAGGGAAGAGCUCACUCUGCCACGAUGCUGACGUUACUCUAGUCUCCUCUUUUGUGUUUUGUUUUGUGACUCUGCUCUGAUUUUUUUGUUUUGUGCUUACCAUGAGGUUUGUAUAAAAGAUCUUAUAAGUGAGAUAGCUCUUUUUCUGCUGAUAGCAUCUUAUCUUAUUAGGCUACACAGGUUCCAUCCUUCUCCUCUUGUCUUUCUAUGCUUUUGUUGUCACAAAUUAUCCUUUUUUGUAUUGUGAGCUUGUUAUCAAAUUGAAGUGGUUACAGUUAUUUUUUAUUCUUUCUUUCUGUUUAAGCUUUGUGUUACCAUUAAGUGUUUACUAAUGUAUUCUAAUAUAGAGUUGCAAUUUUCUGAUUCUGUCUGUCUUGUUAUCGCCUUGCUCAAAGCUUUGUAUACCUUUGCUUUUUUGUUGAAGGAGAGCACCCUUCAACAUUUCUUGUAAGGAAGGUCUAGUGGCAAUGAACUCCCUCAGCUUUUGUUUGUCUGGGAAAGCCUUUAUUUCUCCUUCAUAUCUGAAGGAUAACUUUGCUAGAUAAAGUAUUCUUAGUUGAUACUAUUUGUCUUUCAAUAUUUUGAAUAUAUCAUUCCAUUCUCUCUUAGCCUGUUGAGAUUCUGCUGAGAAAUCCACUGAUAGCCUGAUGGGGGUUUCUUUGUAAGUUGUUUUCUCUCUGAUUGCCCUUAAUAUUCUUUCUUUGUCAUUGAGUUUUGACAGUUUUAGUAUAACGUGUCUUGGACAAGGUCUUUUUGCGUUGAGAGAAUUAGGAGUUGUAUUAGUUUCAUAUACUUGUAUAUCCAGUUCCUUCCCCAGGUUUGGGAAGUUUUCAGCUAGUAUUUCUUUAAAUAAGCUCUCUGCUCCUUUCUCCCUCGCUUCUCCUUCUUGGACACCCAUUAUCUUUAUGUUGCUUUUCCUAAAUGAUUCAGAUAUUUCUUGUAGAAUUUCUUCAUUUUUAAAAAAUCUUAUUUCUCUCUCCUCUUCCAUCUGAAUCAUUUCUAGAUGUCGAUCUUCAAGUUUGCUAAUUCUCUUUUCCAUAUAGUCUGGUCUAUUUCCAAUGCUUUCUACUUUAUUUUUCAUCUCAUUAAUUAUGUUCUUCAUCUCCAGAAUUUCUGUUUGUUUUUUUUUUCUUUUUUAGAGUUUCAAUGUCUUUGGUAAAAUAUUCCUUCUGUGUAUUCAUUUUAUUCCUGAGCUCAUUGAACUGUCUUUCUGAAUUUUCUUGUAACUCACUGAGUUUCUUUUCUUUUUUUCCCCCUGAGGAGGACCCCCCCCCCCACCGGGCUAACAUCUGUGCCAAUCUUUCAUUUUGUAUGUGAGUCGCCACCACAGCAUGGCUGCUGAUGAGUGGUGUAGGUCCACACCCAGGUACUGAACCUGGGCUGCUGAAGCAGAGUGCACCAAACUUAAUUACUAGGUCAUGGGAUCAGACCCUCACUGAGUUUCUUCAUGACAGGCAUUUUGAAUUCUCUGUCAGCUAAAUCACAAUCUUCUGUGACUUCAAGUUUGGUUUCUGGAGAGUUGUCAUUUUCUUUCUGCUCUACUGUGUUAGUGUCAUUCUUCAUGGUGCUGGAGGAGUUGAUCUUUUGCCAGGACAUUUGUGGUAGUAAACAUCUUUCAUAUUUGGGUAAGGCUUUGGUUACUUUGAUUCUGAGCUUCUUCUGGUUGUAUUUGAGAGCUGCACUUUCUGCCCUCCACUGCCUCUGCCAGAAGCAUUGUUAGUGCCCUCCUUGUGCUGCAGUGUGUCUCUCAGGUUGCUGGUGCCUUGCUGCUUACAAUGUUGCUGCAGUCAUGAGUGUCACCACUGGGGUCACCAGGCUGCAAACACUCUGCUGCUUCUGGGUUUGCUUGGACUCAUGUUCCCCCACUGGGUCUCCACAGACUCAGGUGCUGCUGCCAUGUGUACCACCAGCACUGCUGCUCCUGGGUUAUCUGGGGGUGCUGGCAACACCACUGCUGGGGGCACUGGGUUCACAAGUGUUGCUGCCACUGCCAGGGGCCUGGCAUCUUGUAUGCAACCCCCUUUGCUGGUAGGGCUGGUGUCGGGAAUGCCACCAUUAGGGGCUGGGUCAUGGGUACUGCUGUGUUUCCUGAAGCAUCAGGUUGCAGGUGCCUCCCAUCACUGCUGGGGGAGGGGCAGAGGCUAAGCCAUGAAUGCCUCUGCUCCUGCAUCCUCUUGUCUCUAACACUAGUGAAAUUUUUUUUUUUUAAGAUUUUAUUUUUUCUUUUUCUCCCCAAAGCCCCCUGGUACAUAGUUGUGAAUUUUUCCUUGUUGGUCCUUCUAGUUGUGGCAUGUGGGAUGCCGCCUCAUCGUGGCUUGAUGAGCGGUGCCGUGUCCAUGCCCAGGAUUUGAACCAGUGAAACCCUGGGCCACUGAAGCAGAGCGUGCAAACUUGACUACUCGGCCACGGGGCCAACCCCUAGCACAACUUUUUGAAGCCUUAGGUCAGGGUACCACCACCACUGCCUAGGGUAUCCACUAUUUGGAUCACCGCCACUGAGGGAGGGGGAUGGGGCUUAUCCCCUAAUUUCACUGCCUCCCAGAGUUUCAAUCUACCCACUUUCAGAUGUAUAGAUGUCUGGAUCUCUCGGGUGCUCUGGUGUGCUGUGCAGGGAGUCCUUUGUUGGUUGAUGGAUGUCUUGCUGCUUGUAACUUAGAGGGGAGAGACAAAGGGAACAAGUCACUCCACCAUGAUACUGACAUCAACAACAUACCGUUGAUUUUUAUAGGUUUCCAUUUACAAGUUUAAUUUUCUGUCUUUGAGGCUUGCUAAUCAACAGAAUAUGGAAGAUAGCCCUCUGAUGCCCAUGACUACCUUCAGAUUUGUUAUAACCCCCUUAUUUUAAAGGAAGAUUACCCCUGAGCUAACUGCUGCCAAUCCUCCUCUUUUUGCUGAGGAAGACUGGCCCUGAGCUAACAUCUGUGCCCAUCUUCCUCUACUUUAUAUGUGGGACACCUACCACAGCAUGGCGUGCCAAGCAGUGCCAUGUCCGCACCCGGGAUCCGAGCCUGCGAAACCCGGGCCACCAAAGCAGAACGUUGGUGCUUAACUGCUGCGCCACCGGGCUGGCCCCAAUCUGACAGUUCUAUUCCUAGGUAGACAUACCUGGCAGAAAUGUGUUUAUAUGACACCAAAAGACAUGUAUGUAUAAGACUUAUGUGACACCGUUUUUUUCAAUAUCUUUUUUAACAACUUUAUUGAGAUGUCUUUGGCAUAUAAAUUGUAUAAAUUUAAUGGGUACAACUUGAUGAUGUGAAAUAUUGUGAGACCAUUUUAAAACCAUCAGAUUGGGGGGGAAAGAAUAAAUUAUGGUACAUCAAAGAGAUGAAUUUUAUGCAAAUUAAAUCUAUAUAUGUAUUGACUUGGUGGGACAUCUCUGAGAAGUUAAGUGAAGAAAGCAAGUUGUGUAUAUACUGACUUCAUUUUUAUAAGGAUAGAAAACAAAGACAAAACCCCUUUUAUGUGCAUGUACGUAUGUAAGAACAAGAAGAAAAGACUGCAAAUAAAAAGAUCCAAAUUUUAAUAUGAGAGGCGAGAUUAAAUGAAGAAUGAGGAGAGAGAUGAUUAGCUUUUUUUGUGUGUUUCUAGGUAGUUAUUUUUGAUUGAGAUAUAAUUCACCUAUGAUAAAUGCACCACUGUAAAGUAUAUAAUUUGGUAAUUUUUAGUGUAUUCAUGAAGUUGUGCAAGCAUUGCGACUACCUAAUUCCAGAACAUUUUAAUCACCUGUUCUCCCCCACACUCCCCGCCCCAAACCACCCUGUAGCCAUAAGCAAUCAUUCUCUAUACUUCCUGCCUCCCAGCCCCUGGCAGCCACUAAUCUACUUUCUGUGUCUACGGUUUGUCUAUUCUGCACAUUUCAUAUAAAUGGAAUCAUGUAAUAGGUAUGUGAUUUUUUGUGUCUGACCUCUUUCACUUAGCAUAAUGUUUCUGAGACUCAACAAUGUUGUAGCAUGCAUCAAUAGUUCAUUCCCUUUUAAGCCUGAACCAUAUUCCAUUGCAUGGAUACAGCAUAUUUUAUUUAUCCAUUCACCAGGUGCUUAUCAUUUGCAUUGUUUCCACGUUUUGGCUAUUGUAAAUAGUGCUUCUAUGAACAUUAGUGAACAAGUUUUUAUGUGGACAUAUGUUUUUAUUUCUCUUAGGCAUAUAUCUAGGAGUGGAAUCACUGUGUCAUGCCGCAACUCUAUGUUUAAACUUUUGAGGAACUGCCAGACUACUUUUUAAAGCUGCUGUACCAUUUUGCUUUCCCACUGGCAGUGUAUGAGGGUUCCAAUUUCUCCACAUCUUCACAACACUUAUUAUUGUCUGUCUUUUUUAUUAUAGCCAUAGUGUACUAGAGGGUAUGAAGAAUAUCACGUUUGUUUUUAUUUGAAUGUCCCUGAUGGCUAACGAUGUUGAACAUCUUUUCAUGGACUUAUUGGCCCUGUGUAUAUCUUCUUUAUUUUUAUUUUUUUUGGUGAAGAAGAUUGGCCCUGAACGAACAUCCAUUGCUGGUCUUCCUCUUUUUGCUUGAGGAAGAUUGUCUCUGAGCUAACGUUUGUGCCAAUCUUCCUUUAUUUUGUAUGUGGGAUGCCGCCAUAGCAUGGCUUGAUGAACAGUGUAAAAGUCCAUGCUUGGGGUCUGAACCCAUAAACUCCCAGGCCACCAAAGCAAAGUGCAUGCACUUAACCUCUACACCACUGGGCUGGCCCUAUAUCUUCUUUAGAUAAAUGUCUAUUCAAAUCCUUUGCCCAUUUUUUAUUUAGGUUGUCUUUUUAUUGUUGAGUUGUAAGUGUUCUUUAUAUGUUCUGUAUGGAAAUCCCUUGUGAGAUAUAUGAUUUGCAAAUAUUUUAUCUCAUUUUGUGGGUUUUCUUUUCACUUUGUUGAUAGUGUCCCUGGAAACAUAAAAGAUUUUAAUUUUGAUGAAGUCCAAUUUAUUUUAUUUAUGUUGAUUCCUUGCACUUUUGGUGUCGUCUUUAAGAAAUCAUUGCCUAACCCAAGGUCACAAAAAUAUACACCUACGUUGUUUUAUGAGUUUUAUAGUUUUACCCCUUAAAUUUAGGUCUUUGAUCCAUUUUGAGUUAAUUUCUGUAUAUGGUGUGAAGUAGGGCUUCACCUUCAUUCUUUUUCUGGUGGAUAUCUAGCUUUCCUAGCUUCAUUUGUUGAAAAGUCUAUUCUUUCCCCCAUUGAGUUGUCUUGGCACCCUUGUUGAAAAUUAAUUGACCAUAAAUGUACGGAUUUUUUCCUGGACUCUCAGUUCUAUUCCAUUGAUCUAUAUGUUUAUCCUUAUGCCAGCACCAUGCGUCUUGACUACUAUCUAGGUAGUUUUAAAAAACCGAAUUUUUAAAAUAGAUUUGAUUGAGUUUUAAGCUUUAUUAAUCCCUGUAUUAGUUUUCCAUUACUGCUGUAAAAAGUUAUCACAAACUUAGUGGCUUAACACAAAACGAACUUAUUAUCUUACAUGUCUGUAGGUUAUAAGUCUGACACAAAUUUUUGUUUCAGCUUUAUUGAGGUAUAAUUGACAAAUAAAAUUGUAAGACAUUUGAAGUGUACAUCGUGGUGAUUUGGUAUACAUACACAUUGUGAAAAGGUUCCUCCCAUCUGGUUAAUUAACACAUCCAUCACCUCAUAUACUUAUCUUUUUUUUAAGUGAGAACAUUUAAGUUCUACUCUCUCAGCAAAUUUUAAUUAUAUAAUACAGCGUCAUCAACUACAGUCAUCAUGUUAUACGUUACAUCCUUGGACCUUAUUCAUCUCAUAGCUGAAAGUUUGUACCCUUUUACAAACCUCUCCCCAUUCCCUCCAC
Molecule: long non-coding RNA, 7892 nt
Organism: Equus caballus (horse)
Lineage: Eukaryota; Metazoa; Chordata; Mammalia; Perissodactyla; Equidae
Source: Ensembl